Molecule: unclassified non-coding RNA, 267 nt
Filed under: Mycobacterium avium
Lineage: Bacteria; Bacillati; Actinomycetota; Actinomycetes; Mycobacteriales; Mycobacteriaceae
Description: partial 16S-23S ribosomal RNA intergenic spacer
Source: RNAcentral
AACUGGUGGGGUGCGAGCCGUGAGGGGUUCCCGUCUGUAGUGGACGGGGGCCGGGUGCGCAACAGCAAAUGAUUGCCAGACACACUAUUGGGCCCUGAGACAACACUCGGUCCGUCCGUGUGGAGUCCCUCCAUCUUGGUGGUGGGGUGUGGUGUUUGAGUAUUGGAUAGUGGUUGCGAGCAUCUAGAUGAGCGCAUGGUCUUCGUGGCCGGCGUUCAUCGAAAUGUGUAAUUUCUUUUUAACUCUUGUGUGUAAGUAAGUGUCUAA